GUACUCGAGUGGCGAACGGGUGAGUAACACGUGGGUGAUCUGCCCUGCACUUUGGGAUAAGCCUGGGAAACUGGGUCUAAUACCGAAUACACCCUGCUGGUCGCAUGGCCUGGUGGGGGAAAGCUUUUGCGGUGUGGGAUGGGCCCGCGGCCUAUCAGCUUGUUGGUGGGGUGAUGGCCUACCAAGGCGACGACGGGUAGCCGGCCUGAGAGGGUGACCGGCCACACUGGGACUGAGAUACGGCCCAGACUCCUACGGGAGGCAGCAGUGGGGAAUAUUGCACAAUGGGCGCAAGCCUGAUGCAGCGACGCCGCGUGAGGGAUGACGGCCUUCGGGUUGUAAACCUCUUUCAGCACAGACGAAGCGCAAGUGACGGUAUGUGCAGAAGAAGGACCGGCCAACUACGUGCCAGCAGCCGCGGUAAUACGUAGGGUCCGAGCGUUGUCCGGAAUUACUGGGCGUAAAGAGCUCGUAGGUGGUUUGUCGCGUUGUUCGUGAAAACUCACAGCUUAACUGUGGGCGUGCGGGCGAUACGGGCAGACUAGAGUACUGCAGGGGAGACUGGAAUUCCUGGUGUAGCGGUGGAAUGCGCAGAUAUCAGGAGGAACACCGGUGGCGAAGGCGGGUCUCUGGGCAGUAACUGACGCUGAGGAGCGAAAGCGUGGGGAGCGAACAGGAUUAGAUACCCUGGUAGUCCACGCCGUAAACGGUGGGUACUAGGUGUGGGUUUCCUUCCUUGGGAUCCGUGCCGUAGCUAACGCAUUAAGUACCCCGCCUGGGGAGUACGGCCGCAAGGCUAAAACUCAAAGGAAUUGACGGGGGCCCGCACAAGCGGCGGAGCAUGUGGAUUAAUUCGAUGCAACGCGAAGAACCUUACCUGGGUUUGACAUGCACAGGACGCCGGCAGAGAUGUCGGUUCCCUUGUGGCCUGUGUGCAGGUGGUGCAUGGCUGUCGUCAGCUCGUGUCGUGAGAUGUUGGGUUAAGUCCCGCAACGAGCGCAACCCUUGUCUCAUGUUGCCAGCACGUUAUGGUGGGGACUCGUGAGAGACUGCCGGGGUCAACUCGGAGGAAGGUGGGGAUGACGUCAAGUCAUCAUGCCCCUUAUGUCCAGGGCUUCACACAUGCUACAAUGGCCGGUACAAAGGGCUGCGAUGCCGUGAGGUGGAGCGAAUCCUUUCAAAGCCGGUCUCAGUUCGGAUCGGGGUCUGCAACUCGACCCCGUGAAGUCGGAGUCGCUAGUAAUCGCAGAUCAGCAACGCUGCGGUGAAUACGUUCCCGGGCCUUGUACACACCGCCCGUCACGUCAUGAAAGUCGGUAACACCCGAAGCCGGUGGCCUAACCC
Molecule: ribosomal RNA, 1344 nt
Filed under: Mycolicibacterium smegmatis
Lineage: Bacteria; Bacillati; Actinomycetota; Actinomycetes; Mycobacteriales; Mycobacteriaceae
Description: bacterial SSU rRNA
Rfam family: Bacterial small subunit ribosomal RNA
Source: RNAcentral